UACGGGAGGCAGCAGUAGGGAAUCUUCCACAAUGGACGCAAGUCUGAUGGAGCAACGCCGCGUGAGUGAAGAAGGUUUUCGGAUCGUAAAGCUCUGUUGUUGGUGAAGAAGGAUAGAGGUAGUAACUGGCCUUUAUUUGACGGUAAUCAACCAGAAAGUCACGGCUAACUACGUGCCAGCAGCCGCGGUAAUACGUAGGUGGCAAGCGUUGUCCGGAUUUAUUGGGCGUAAAGCGAGCGCAGGCGGAAAAAUAAGUCUAAUGUGAAAGCCCUCGGCUUAACCGAGGAACUGCAUCGGAAACUGUUUUUCUUGAGUGCAGAAGAGGAGAGUGGAACUCCAUGUGUAGCGGUGGAAUGCGUAGAUAUAUGGAAGAACACCAGUGGCGAAGGCGGCUCUCUGGUCUGCAACUGACGCUGAGGCUCGAAAGCAUGGGUAGCGAACAGGAUUAGAUACCCUGGUAGUCCAUGCCGUAAACGAUGAGUGCUAAGUGUUGGGAGGUUUCCGCCUCUCAGUGCUGCAGCUAACGCAUUAAGCACUCCGCCUGGGGAGUACGACCGCAAGGUUGAAACUCAAAGGAAUUGACGGGGGCCCGCACAAGCGGUGGAGCAUGUGGUUUAAUUCGAAGCAACGCGAAGAACCUUACCAGGUCUUGACAUCUAGUGCAAUCUGUAGAGAUACGGAGUUCCCUUCGGGGACGCUAAGACAGGUGGUGCAUGGCUGUCGUCAGCUCGUGUCGUGAGAUGUUGGGUUAAGUCCCGCAACGAGCGCAACCCUUGUUAUUAGUUGCCAGCAUUAAGUUGGGCACUCUAAUGAGACUGCCGGUGACAAACCGGAGGAAGGUGGGGAUGACGUCAAGUCAUCAUGCCCCUUAUGACCUGGGCUACACACGUGCUACAAUGGGCAGUACAACGAGAAGCAAGCCUGCGAAGGCAAGCGAAUCUCUGAAAGCUGUUCUCAGUUCGGACUGCAGUCUGCAACUCGACUGCACGAAGCUGGAAUCGCUAGUAAUCGCGGAUCAGCACGCCGCGGUGAAUACGUUCCCGGGCCUUGUACACACCGCCCGUCACACCAUGGGAGUCUGCAAUGCCCAAAGCCGGUGGCCUAACCUUCGGGAAGGAGCCGUCUAA
RNAcentral lists this ribosomal RNA (1127 nucleotides) under Lactobacillus amylovorus. Its description in RNAcentral is "bacterial SSU rRNA". It matches the Rfam family "Bacterial small subunit ribosomal RNA", at positions 340 to 1460 of the family's 1533-position model. Lineage: Bacteria; Bacillati; Bacillota; Bacilli; Lactobacillales; Lactobacillaceae. The record is from RNAcentral.